Molecule: long non-coding RNA, 460 nt
Organism: Vigna angularis (adzuki bean)
Lineage: Eukaryota; Viridiplantae; Streptophyta; Magnoliopsida; Fabales; Fabaceae
Exons: 3
Source: RefSeq, a predicted model, not a curated record
UUCAUUUGUAGUAUUCCACGACAGCGAUGGACAGCACCAUCAAAUCACACCUCCAAGCCAAACCAGCAAUGGUAUUAUCAGGUCACGAUACCAGAGACUGCACCAUGAGCAUGGCACCAGGAACACCGCAGGAGAUCCUAACCGCCACCUCCACAACUCUGCCGUGACCAGAAAGGUGCAGGUUGUCCGUAACAAAAUGAAGUAUGUGGGUGCAGGAAGAAAUACCCUCUCUUCUCGGUGUUAACUUAUACACAGCUUUGGUGGCUACUCGGAAGAGUGCGAGGAGUUAGAGUAUUGACGUGUCUGAAUGAUUUGAAGAAUGAGAAACCAAGCCAAAUUUCAAAAGUCUAUUCAUAUACCGUCUGCUCUUCAGAUCAUUUCUAGUUUUGAGGUUAGCUGGUAUAUUUUCUACUAAAUCAAUUCAUAAGACCAUUGCUGAUUUGUGUUAAAAGCAUUUGGU